This 11409-nucleotide long non-coding RNA is filed under the name Linum usitatissimum (flax). RNAcentral describes it as "long non-coding RNA (LUSI_LNC002577)". The record is from RNAcentral. Lineage: Eukaryota; Viridiplantae; Streptophyta; Magnoliopsida; Malpighiales; Linaceae.
UUUUUUUUUUAGUAAUCGUCGCUUCGGUUUAAUCCGCAAACUUCCUUCUAGAUUUCGCUUCAUCACCAUCAUUGCCACCGUCUUUGGCUACGAUGGCGGUCGAGAAGGCCACCAGCAACCUUCUCAUCUCACCUGAUGAAGAUACCAACCUUUAAUCGCAGCAACAGCAAGUAAGGUGCGUAAGGUUCUCAUUUUGGCUGCGGGAGCAAAAGUGUCGAUAUAGUCGAUCCCAGCUUGUUGAGUGAGUCCUUGAGCCACGAGUCCUGCCUUACGACGUUCUAAAGAACCAUUAGCAUGAUAUUUAACCCUUGCAUACCCAUUUUCGACCAAUGACAGUGAUGUGGGGAGGCUUUGGAACAAUGCUCCAAGUUUGAGUUUUGAUCAGGGCGCCAAGUUCAUUCUGUACAGCUGCAUUCCAACUAGGAUCAGCAGCAUCUUCUUUAUAUGAUCUUGGUUCACGAGUGGAAUCCACAGAUAGGAGUACUUCUUUGUAAGAAGGUGCAAGCUUGUCUCCAGCAAUGACAUCAGAGAUGGGAUAUCGAACACUGUUGCAUUGAAAUUCUGCUAGGUAAUUAUUAGGCAGUCUUCUUUGUUUUUGGGGACGACCAGGAGCAGCAAUGGUAGAGGAAGGAGCAGUAGUAUUGUUGAGAUUAUGAGUGGCAUCAUUGGGAGUAGGAUCAAAAGUGGAUGCCUGCUGUUUAGAAGUAUUGUGAGAAAGAUCCACAGUAUGAUCUGCAAAGUCUGGGGGAGAAGUAGAAGUAGUGCUAGGGAUGUUUAAAUCCAUAUCACGAGGAACCAGAGGAGUUGGAGAUGGAUCAAUGAUAGGAAAAACAAAUUCAUAAGCAGGUUUUGUGAGAGAAACUUGAGAAAAAGGAAAGAUUUGUUCCUUCAAAGUUACAUCUCUAGAAUCAAUGACGGCAUGGGUUUCAAGGUUAUAUAAUCUCUAUCCUUUCUUAUUUGGAGGAUAUCCAAGUAAGAUACAAGGAUGACCACAAGAAGAUAUUUUGCUGCGUCCAUGAGCAAGAGUAGAGGCAAAAGCUUGACAGGCAAAAACUCUAAGAGAGUCAAAUGAAGGUGGAAUUCCAGUAAGAACCUCAAUGAGAGAUAUUUCAUUUAGAAUUAGAGUAGGGAGGCGAUUACUGAUAUGUACAACAUGAAGAAUUGCAUAAUACCAGAAAUUUGAAGGUAAUUUUGCUGAGAGCUCUAGUCACAACAAGAAUGUGUUGGUGUUUUCUCUGAACCCUGCCAUAUUGUUGAGAUGUUUGUAUACAAGAUGUUUUAUGAGUGAUUCCUUUGCUGUUAAAGAAGGAAGGAGUAUUGAAUUCUUGUCCAUUAUCACUUUGAAUGAUUUUGAUACGAGUAUUAUAUUGAGUAAGAAUAAGGUCAUAGAAAUCAAACAUACAUUGUCUGGCUUGAGAUUUAUUCUUUAAUAUGUAAACCCAUGUCAUUCAAGAAUUAUCAUCUACAAUGGUGAGAAAGUACAGAUGUCCAUCAAAAGAACUAACUGAACAAGGACCCCAUACGAUCACAUCAGUGAAACUUAUAUCUUUACUAAGAAUGACACUGCCAAUAUGAGAAACCAUAACUCGAUUUCCAUUAGGUAAGGUAACAUGAGUAUUCUGUACACCAACCCCAAAGGUAAGUAAAUCGAGUGAACAAGCAACAUGUUUGUGGCACCUGCAGGAGGAGCUUGAGAGGGUGAUGGAGAAAUGGUUCCUUGAGCUUGACCAGAUUGAGAGCUUUGAGCUCGAUGGGAUGGAGGAUGCAUAUACUGGGCCCAGUUUCCAAUCAUUGAUGCUUUGGAAACUUCAAUAGGCAAUCCAGAGCGAAUACAGUUGAUAGCACCAGUGUUCUAAAGUUGAAAAAGAUUGUAUAGAACUGUUGGGGCGCUAGCGGAAAUAUAGUGGAAUUUAAAAUCGAAAAGAUAGUAUUUUGAUAACUUACUCGAUUAAUCACACAAUUUUAUAAAAGUUACAACUUUGUCACUUAGACCUUUCAAACUCCUCACCGAACACUCUCUACUUCUUCUUUCUUAUUUGUUUUGUUUCUCUACACUUCACACUUGCCUAAGGUGAGACUUCAUAUUUAUAGGCUAAUACAACCUCCUUAGGAAGAUACUAGCACACUUGAUAGGUUUAGUGUGUGGUUAGGAUUAUUUUUAUUUUGUUUAGUUAUCAAAACAUAUUAAUUAGUUUAGUUGAGUAGUUGAGAUUUUUUUAUGGAAUUGUCUAGAGAAUUGUAGAUUAAUUCUCAACACCCCCUCUUAAUCUGCAAUUCGGAGUAGGUGUUUGAACUUCUCGAGUUUGUCCUUCGUAACUGCCUUCGUCAUGAUAUCUGCCGGUUGAUCAUCUGUGUUGAUGAACUCCAUUGUGAUUUCUCCGUUAUUGACUAACUGUCGUAUGAAAUGGUGUCGUAACUCGAUAUGCUUCGACCUUGUGUGAAAUACUGGAUUCUUUGUCAUGGCUAUAGCUGACAUUUUGUCACAGUGAAUAAUGAUUGGUUCAUUAUCACCUUGUUGCAAGUCUUCAAUUAAUCUUUUUAUCCAUACUGCCUUGCCUGAUGCAUCUGUAGAUGCAAUAUAUUCUGCUUCCGCUGAUGAUACUGCCACAGUCUUCUGCUUCUUUGAGCUCCAAGAAAUAGGUUUUGUAUCUAUGCAAAAUAUGUAACCAGAUGUACUCUUUUGGUCAUCUAUUGAUCGUGCCCAGUCACUGUCGGUGUGUCCGAUUAGCUUGCUUCCUCUUUCCUUCUUGUACCUUAGGCCCAAUUGUUUAGUGCCUUGGAGGUAUCGUAGGAUUCUCUUUGAUGCUGCAAAAUGAAGUUUGCUAGGCUCAUUCAUAAAUCUUGAAAUAACACUUACUGAGUGACAUAUAUCUGGUCUUGUGUGUGUCAGAUAUAUGAGCGAUCCGACUAGGCUUCUGUAUAUUUUCCCAUCAACUUUUUCUGCUCCAUCUUCUUGUUGCAACUUCUCAUUCAAUGCCAUCGGUGUUGCUAUGGGCUUGCACGAUGCCAUGUGAAAUCUCUUUAACACGUCUUUAGUAUACUUCUCUUGAGAGAUGAAUAUAUCUCCAGGUUUCUGCUUUACUUGAAUUCCCAGAAAAUACUUCAUGAGUCCUAAGUCAGUCAUUUCGAACUCUGACAUCAUUGCCCUUUUGAAUUCUUCAAUCAUUUGUGCACUUGUGCCUGUGUAGAUCAAGUCAUCAACAUAUAAGCACAAAAUACGAAAGUUUUUGUUUUCUUCCUUUUUUAUGUAGAGAGAUGCUUCACGUGGACUUCUUUGGAACUUAUUGUCUUGAAAGUAUCGAUCAAUUCUGUUGUUCCACGCUCGUGGUGCUUGUUUGAGUCCGUAGAGUGCCUUUUUGAGUUGAUAGACUUUGUCUUCUCCUCCUUUCUUCUCGUAUCCUCGUAGUUGUUCCACAUAGACUUUUUCUUCUAGUGUUCCGUUGAGGAAUGCUAACUUGAUGUCUGGCUGAAAUAUUGGUAACUCCAUUUGAGCUGCUAGUGUUAUGACUGUUCUGAUUGUCUCCAUCUGCGUUACUGGUGCAUAGGUUUUGUGAAAGUCGAUGCCAAACUGUUGUGAAUAGCCUUUUGCCACCAAUCUCGCUUUAAGCUUCUGGAUGGAACCGUCUUCAUUAAAUUUGGUCUUGUAGAUCCAGUUAAGACCUAUGACCAGCUUGUCUUUUGGUUUGUCCACGAGCUCCCAAGUCUUGUUCUUCUCGAUCAUUGAGAUCUCCGUGUCCAUUACUUCUGUCCAGAUUUUGUCUUUUGUUGCUUCUUCAAAUGUCUGGGGUUCAAAAGAAAAAUAUGCUACGUGACUUGAUUCAUAAAUUUCUCUUAAGGAUCUAACCUUUAAUGGAGGUGAAUCUAUUUUGUCAUGACGUCUCUAAAGUUGUCUCUCGUUGGACUCGUUGUUGGAAUUCUUCCAUGGAUUGGAUUUUGAUGGUCCUUAUUUGGUGUUUUUGGUGCAGUUGUUGGAUUCUACAGGAUCUCAUUUGUUAAUGGAGGUUGAGUAUCCUGAGUUUCCCAACUCCACUCGGCUAUUUCGUCGAAGAUAACGUCUCGUGAAAUCACCACCUCAUUCUUCAAUGGAUUGUAGAGUCUAUAACCUUUGGAUUCGUCACUAUAUCCGAUGAAGAUGACCAUCUCUCCCUUCUGGUCGAACAUAUCUCGAUUUGGGGUGGAGAUAUGUGCAUAUGCUAAGCAUCCAAAUACUUAGAGGUGAUCCACUUGCGGCCUUUUGCGGUGCCAUGCUUGAAAAGGUGUUUUGUUCUUAACUGCUUUGGUUGGCGAUCUGUUGAGGAUAUAGAUUGUUGUAUUGACAGCUUCGCCAAAGUUGGUUGGGAAUUUUCUUAGCAGUCAUCAUGCUUCUUGACAUCUCCACAAUUGUACGGUUCGUUCGUUCUGCUACGCCAUUUUGUUGUGGUGUGUACCGCACUGUCAACUGCCUCUUGAUUCCGUUCGUGUGACAGUACUCCAUGAAAGGUUUAUAGAUGAAUUCUCCAACACGAUCUGUUCGUAGUGUCUUGAUUUCAUGUCCGCUUUCCUUCUCAGCUGUUGCUUUGAAUUGAAGGAACUUGGAGAAAACUUCUGACUUUUGUUCGAGAAAGAAUACCCACAUCAUUCUAGUAUNNNNNNNNNNNNNNNNNNNNNNNNNNNNNNNNNNNNNNNNNNNNNNNNNNNNNAUCAUCCACAAAUAGUAGAAAGUAUCUCUUACCAUCCAGGGAUGCUAGUUGGUCCGCAAAUAUCAGCGUGUACCAACUCUAGUGGUGCUUUUGCUCUCCAAGUGGUUUUUAAAAAUGACAGGUGAUGCAUUUUGCCAUAUAUGCAUCCUUCACAAACCUUGUCUUCUCUGUUGAUUUCGGGAAGACCAACCACCAUAUUUUUAUGCUUCAACAAUUUAAGUCCUUUGUAGUUUAGGUGUCCAUAUCGGAGAUGUCAUAGGAAAGAUUCGUCCAUACUUUGGCUUUUCAUUGCUAAUUCCUUAUUCUUCGACAUUGUGAGAGGAAACAUCCUGUUGGAAGUCAUCAGAAUUUUUGCCACCUUCGGGUUGUUCGAUUUGUUGAUAAUCUCACAUUGGUCGUUAUCAAACAGUAGCUAGUAAUUUUUGAGCUAAUUCAGGAACGUACAAAAUUUUUUGGAUUAGAGUUUUAUUACCUCCCUUUCCUUGUACGAUAAUUGUACAUUUUCCUUCCACUUCCAAUUUUUUCACCGUCUCCAAUCUUCACGUGGGACUUAUAUGUAUCAUCCAUCUCGAUAAAAGACUCCUGAUCUCCAGUCAAGUGAUUACUGCAACCGUUGUCCACCACCCAUGGAAGUUGUGAUUUUUGCUCGGCUUUGAAGCAAGUGUAUGCGACCAGUUUUUCUUCAUCCUUAUGUGCGAAGCUUGAUUCGCCUUCUUCUUUUUUAUUCUAGAACCAGCAAUCUCGUUGAGAGUGAUUUUGAAUUUUGCACUUGGUGCACCUGAACCUGCAUUUUUUGGUAGCAUGGUUAGAGUUUUUAUAAACUUUGCAUUUGUCGUUGGAGUUGCUUGAUUUCUCCUGAUUCUUGCUGCAGUUGUUGCUUUUCUUGAAAUUCGAUUUUCCUCCUUCCUUUCUGCUCUCCUUUGAUGUCGACCUUGGAUUGAAAAGUUUGCUCGAGUUGUUGGUUGGUAAACCGGCUCAAUCUCUGCCUAUGAGCUACAAGUGAUCCGAUAAACUUAGUCAUGAGUAAUUUUCCAAAAUCUUUGGUUUCUUCUAUGACAGCGACGACGUGCUCGAACUUUGGUGUUAGACUGCGUAGGAUCCUCUCCACGAUCUUCUUCUCGUCGAUAGUCUCUCCAGUGACUUUGAUCUGGUUCACUAUCUCUGCAGCACGAGAAUGAAAGUCUUUGAUGCUUUUGCCUUCCUUCAUCGUCAGGUUGUCGAAUUGACGCCAUAGAUUUUGGCGUUUUAUGGAGAUUGCCUUCUCAGAACUUUGAAAUUUAUUCUUCAAAACUUCCCAAACUUCUUUGCCUAAUUUGAUGCCAAAUAUUCUCGGAAAUAUUGUUUUGCUCACAGCUUGCUGAAUUAUCCUCAAUGCGUUGGCGUUCCUUGUGACAUUCUCCUUAUGCUCCUUCGUCUUCAUCCCGCUUAUUUUGGGAUUGUCAUCUUUUGCCGAAUCUGCCUUUUUCCGGUCGAUGUGUAAUCGUUCUCUUGUGGUGAUUGUUCGAUGCCUUCUUGAACAAUAUCCCACAAGUCUUGUGAAAUGAAGAUAGUCUCCAUUUGUACUUUCCAAUAUUCGUACAAUUCUCCAUCAAAAAUUGAAACUUGAUUUGAAGAGUUGACGAACAUGGAACUUGACGAUGGUGUUGCCAUAGGAUUUUGAGCAGAUUCUUUUGAUAGAGGUUUUGAGAGGGUUUUGUGAGGUUAGGUUAUAAUAUGGUUAUCAAAGUACUAAAGUGUAACUUUUCUGAUGUGGAAGAUCAGUUAUAAAAACCGCAACCACAUAGCAUACUCAGCGUAACUUUAGCGCUAAUACCAAAUUUUUUGGGGCGCUAGCGAAAAUGUAGUGGAAUUUAGGAUUUAAAAAUUAGUAUUUUGAUAACUCACUCGAUGAAUGACACAAUUUUAUAAAAGUUACAACUUGGUCACUUAGACCGUUCAAACUCCUCACUGAACACUCGCUACUUCUUCUUUCUUAUUUGUUUUGUUUCUCUACACUUCACACUUGUCUAAGGUGAGACUUCAUAUUUAUAGGCUAACACAACUUUGUUAGGAAGAUACUAGAACACUUUGUGCUUCUUCUUUCUUAUUUAUUUUGUUUCUCUACACUUCACACUUUUUUAAGGUGAGGCUUCAUAUUUAUAGGCUAAUACAACUUUCUUAGGAAGAUACUAGCACACUUGGUAAGUUUAGUGUGUGACUAGGAUUAUUUUUAUUUUGUUUAGUUAUCAAAACAUAUUAAUUAAUUGAGUUGAGUGGUUGAGAUAUUUUUAUAGAAUUUUCUAGAGAAUCGUAGAUUAAUUCUCAACAAGAACUUGAUAUUGUUGACGAGAUAUCAUAACUGGAGAAUCAUCAGUUACAACAGGAAGAUCAAAAUUUGUUGGAGCACCUUCAUCUGAAUCUACAUUACUUAUCCAUCGAUCAUAAAUACAUCUAAUUAAGUUUCUAUUACCUACGUCAAAGCUGCAAUACCUACGUCUAAGUUGCUAAUAACAAUGUUUUUCUCUUUAUAUCUACGCUACGUUUAAGUUUCUAAUAACUAUGUUUAACUAAAUAAUAACUACAUCUACGGUUCUAAUAAUUAUGUCUAUCUCAAAGUUGCUAAUAGAUAUGUCUGAGUUGGUGAUAACUACGUCUAAUUGGCUUAUAACUACAUCUCACACCCCCUCCCCCACAUCUACCUUAGUUACCGUCGACCAUACAUACAUCUAAGUAGCUAAAAAUCCUACCACAAAAUUAUCAAUACCUAUGUCUUUAGUUGCUAAUAACUAUGUUUGUUCCCUUAUGUAUAUCUAUGUACCUUAGUUUAAGUUGUUAAUACCUACAUCUAAAUUGUUGAUAUCAAUAUCAACUUCUGAGUUAUUAAUAGGAACUUCUAAGUUAUUAAUAGUUACGUCUAAGUGGACAAUAACUACGUUUAAGUUGUCAAUAACUACGUCUAAUAUAGUGAUAGCUAUCAAGUCUAGUUUAAGGCAGUCAACUCACAUGUUUGACCUCGAACAAAAUUCGUCGAAACUACAUCAUGACCUUGUUUGCUUUAAUCGUCUUUGAAAAAAUAAUUUUGUUGCGAAAAAUUAUUCAACCCCAAGUUCGUAUGUAAAAAAUAUUAAUUAAAUAAGUGUUAGGGAAAAAAAUAAAACAUUAAAGGUGAGAUAGUGGUAAAAUGACAAACUGCCCGUCUGCUAUAAAAUCCAGCAGAAUUCAGCAGCUGACAACUUCAGCACCAGACGCCAACACCAUCUAGAUAUGAGAUCCAUAUAUUUGAAACGGAGCGGACGGGAUCGGCAGAGCUGCAGGCGAAGGUCGAAGAUGACCAACAUCCAGAUAUGAGAUCUAUGAACUUGAGAUGAAGAAGAAGAAUGGGAAAGGUGAAGUAUUGUGAGAAGGUUGGAACGGCUUCGUCGUUGUGAAAGAAGGGAGCGGCAGUGGCGUCGUCAUCGUGAGGAAAGAAAGCCAGCGUCGGCGGCGUCACUGUGAGGGAAGCGAGGCGGCGGCAGCGUCACUGAGGAAAGACAAGCGGUGGCGGCGGCGUCCGAGUGAGAAUGGAAGCGGCAAAGGGGGUAUCUCACUGGAGAAACUGAUUUGGAGUUUUGAGAUAUGCUUUAGGGUUCAAGGAAAUUGAUUGGAAGAGAUAAUACAGUGAAGAAGAUGAAUGGAGAAGGAAGAGGAAGUUGAAGUAUGAAGAAUGAAGGAGACAGAGUCACAGAGAGAUGGAAAUCGGGGAAGAUCAAAUUGGAUUUAAUGAUCUAAUUCGACUGAAUUGGGUCACAUUUCGAAUUCGGUCAAUCAACCUAAUUACCGAGCUCGAAUUGGUGGAAAAUUUCAGCAUCGAUUUCGGUUUGGAAAUCGAAUUCAAGUUGCAUUCAGUUUUUGGUUGAAUUAAAUUCGGUUACAAAUUUGGUUAAAUCGAAUAAUCAAAACCGAACUGACAGACCAAUCGAGCGGGUAUCUGAUUGGACAAAGUUUAAUGCCAAGAUUAUCUCCAAUCUAGCAGUUAGUCCAGAGUUGACUAGAGUUGAGUUUUACUAAUUAGUCAUUGCGCUCAAGGUAGUGAAAUCGUCGAGUUAGUAUGAGAUCGAAUAAUGACCUGAAAUCGUAAUUGUAGAAUUGAAUGACUUGAAAUCGUAAUCGUAGAAUUGAAUCGUAAAAUCGUAAGAUUUCACGACUUUCUAUAAUAGCAAAUUAAAAAAAAAUUGCAUUACUUUUAUACGGUUGUUAUCAUUUCAAUCUUACUUAUUACUAAAAUAAUAAAAAACUAUCAAUAAAAUAAAUAAAUUACGGAUAACAUCUAAAUUUUUUAUUCUAAACCAAAUGAGAGACAAAAUGACAAAUUCACAAUUUUCACCUAGAAAGUAGAAUUGUAAAAUACAUAAAAAAAUAUUGAUUUUAUAAUAUUUUAAGAUUUAAAUCCAGAUUUUACCUGAUUUCAUUAACCAUCAAUUUUGGGUGAAAUCCAAAUAGUUAUACAUCACUAAAAUCAUAAAACCAUAAAAUUUUACAAUUUAAAUCGUCAAUUUUAUUACUCUGAUUGUGGUGCUUGUACAGUCAUCGAAAAGUCCUUUUAUGAUUUCAUUUUAGUGAAGACUAAUAGUAGGCCCAAUUAGUCAAUAGCAUCCUUCUUAGUUUACUAAAGCCAAUAAACCUAUAUAAACAUAUAUAGGUGACAUUGUGCACAAUCGUAUGAGGGGGGAGCUAUAUGCAACAGUUUUAAACAGGCAAUUCCAAUGUUGAAGUGCCUAUCUGCCAUCGUUUAAACAUCCUAAUUGAGAAUCAGCCUUCAGAACUUGGUCAGAGAUAAUAAUGUAUAUAGCUAACAAUAAACACAAUGCUGGACCUAAGCCAACGGCAGCAACCUUUUAAGCAAAUGGCCUGGAUCAGAUUCCAUGGAUUGCAGGCGGCUUAUGAGUUUGUUGUCAGUUUAAAAAGAACAGGGUUAUCAGUAGUAGGUGAACAGUAUCACCCAACCUGGCAUUUAGACGUCUUGGAAGGACUCUGCACCAUUCCCCGAAGUAUGUAUCCAGUCCAUACACAUAAAAAAGAAAGAAAAGAAAGGAGUAGUCGGGAAGUAAAAAUCAAGCAAGCAAACGAGGGAAACGACAAAAAGUGUGCUUGUAUCUAAAAGUGGCGAUAUUCACAUUACCCUUUUCACAGUGGCCCAUCUCCCCCCCUUGUUUUCUAUAACACUGAAAGAAGUAACCUAUCUUGUGAGAAUAGAAUACAUCUAACAAAUGAAGGCUGGUAAUGUACCUAGAAAUAUCAAGGCAUUUGUAGUUGUAGCAAACUAGCAAGUGCUUACAGCUGACAGACAUUCAUCUCUCCUUCCCCCCUCACGGACCCCAUCUCCCUUUUGGCGUUCUCUCUAACCCAAUCCCAUUUCUUUUUCUGCAUCUGCUAAGACUGCUACACUACACAUUAAAUAAUAACUUCUUUCACAGCACAGCUCCUCCAUUCAUUGUCUGCCAUUCCCACUAACCCCAUUACCCCCCUCAAACAACUUUUAUUGAUUUUGCAUAACUGGAGCAACAACAACCCCCUCUCCAAUUAUUUUUCAUUUCAUCUAAUGUUACAAGCGAUUACAACAAACUUUGAAGAUCUCUUAGGGUUAAAAUUACAUUACAGAACAAAUAGGAAAUACCCAGAAACAAAUCAAUCAAAAUUCCCAAAUUUAGACAGACAGACAGACAGACACCAAAGGGAGGGAGGGAUAACCCAAAAUACGAAUUCGAGUUUGAAUCAUAUCAAGAACAACCAUCUUCAUCUUCCUAUUUAUUAUUAUUAUUAUUAUUACAUCUUAAAAACUGGGUCAUAAUAAUAAUACUACAUUCGAGCUGGAUGAAAUUGGUUUCCUUUCAUCUACCUCGGUUACCAAAAUUCAUCUUCUCGUAGUACCGGAUUGAAAGCAGGGACAGGGAGAGAUGGACCUCAUCCUUCCCCCACUUUGCUGGAGGCUUAGCUCCGAUCAUCGGCGGGAAAUUAGCCCAUGGCGAUGAAGAAGAAGAAGACGAAGACGAAGACGAAGUAGAGGCAGAGGACUGGGGUUUGGAGAGAGGCCAGAGGUACUGGGAGUGAAGGCGGCGGAACCCUCCUAGGGCCAGGACUACAGAUCUAAGCUGUUGGUUACCGCACCCGAUGUUAGCCCAGUGUUUGGUGCAGAUCAGCUCCCAGAGCCGCUCGUCCUCGGCUGUCAGGUGCCACUGCUUGCUCACGCACGCCGCUCGGCCCAGGGUAGCAGCAUCGGCGUGCUUCAGCACCUCGUACAGCAGAUUCUCGUCCAAAUUGACGAACCCAGUUCCCGAACCGCUCAAAUCUGUGGCUGGUACUUCAUCCUGGACCUUGAUUCGCUUGGAUUGAGAAUAGGAAUCGGCGUCCAGAGAACGCUUCAUGGUAGGAACGGACAGAAAGGGAAAGGAGAGGGUUGUUGUACGGAGGAGUUAGAGAGGAAGGAAUGAAAUGAAUUGCAGAGGAAGAGGAGAUGGGAGAAGUAGAAGAUAAAAGGAGGGAUAGGGAUUUGGGUGGGGGAAGAGACGACUUUGGAGAUUAUCGAAGAGGACAAGAGGGGAAGAAAUGAAUGCGGGAGUUUGAUGCUCUUUCUUUCUUUUCAGUUUCCUCCUUUCUUCUUCUCUCUCUCUCUCCUCAUAUUUACGUUUGUGUCCUGCUUUCUGUUUUGUUUUCGAUACUUCUCAUUCCUUUUACUUUGUCCCUGAUUUUAUUUUGUGAAGAGGAAAACCCUCCG